Fundulus heteroclitus (mummichog) is the source of this 575-nucleotide long non-coding RNA. RefSeq lists it as uncharacterized. The record is from RefSeq and is a predicted model, not a curated record. The transcript has 3 exons. NCBI's taxonomy places the organism in Eukaryota, Metazoa, Chordata, Actinopteri, Cyprinodontiformes, Fundulidae.
GUAUUGAAAUUCUGGAGAGGGCAGAGGGAGAUGGACUUCAUAUUUAAAGAUGACAGCCAGCUGAAGUAAAGUGUCACUUCAAUGACAUGGCUUAAGGGAAGCCAUUCAAGUUCAAAGUCAAGGAGACGAAGCGGAGGAGAUCACGCGAUGAACGAAGGGGCUUCUGGACAGUUCGAACCUCCCAGGGAGAGAAGGAAGAAGCCGAAUUGGAAGGAAAGGCUGCCACACAGUGGGAAGCCCACACAGAGAAGAAGAUGAUGCUCGCUCAGAGGCUCUGGAUUUCACACUGAGUUAAGCUGAAUGGGAUUGGUGCUUUUUACUCAAAGAGCAUUUUGCUGAAAGUUUGACAGCUACAGAGAAACAUUUUAUCAGACCAUGAACUUUCUGAGAUGCUCAUGUAACAGCCCUCAGUUAUCGCUCUUUUUGCUGCUACUAAACAAUUUUGACAUCUCAACAAAAACACCAGUGGGAAGAUACAAACAGCAUCAAAGAUUGGAGAAGAACCAAGCUAAUUCGGUAGCAGGAUCAGACCUGCUGAGACAGACUUUUUCUGUUUCAAUCUGAAGAAUUUCUGC